UACGGGGGGGGCAAGCGUUGUUCGGAAUUACUGGGCGUAAGGGCUCGUAGGCGGCCAACUAAGUCAGACGUGAAAUCCCUCGGCUUAACCGGGGAACUGCAUCUGAUACUGGAUGGCUUGAGUUCGGGAGAGGGAUGCGGAAUUCCGGGUGUAGCGGUGAAAUGCGUAGAUAUCUGGAGGAACACCGGUGGCGAAGGCGGCAUCCUGGACCGACACUGACGCUGAGGAGCGAAAGCCAGGGGAGCAAACGGG
Molecule: ribosomal RNA, 252 nt
Filed under: uncultured bacterium
Lineage: Bacteria
Description: partial 16S ribosomal RNA
Rfam family: Bacterial small subunit ribosomal RNA
Source: RNAcentral